GUAGUCAUAUGCUUGUCUCAAAGAUUAAGCCAUGCAUGUCUAAGUAUAAGCAACUUUGUACUGUGAAACUGCGAAUGGCUCAUUAAAUCAGUUAUAGUUUAUUUGAUGGUUUUUGCUACAUGGACAACUGUGGUAAUUCUAGAGCUAAUACAUGCAUUCAAGCCCCGACUUCUGGAAGGGGUGUAUUUAUUAGAUAAAAAUCAACUUUGUUGGUGGAUCAUAAUAACUUCUCGGACCGCAUGGCCUCGUGCUGGCGGUGCUUCAUUCAAAUAUCUGUCCUAUCAACUGUCGAUGGUAGGAUAGAGGCCUACCAUGGUUGCAACGGGUAACGGGGAAUG
This 338-nucleotide ribosomal RNA is filed under the name uncultured fungus. RNAcentral describes it as "SSU rRNA". It matches the Rfam family "Eukaryotic small subunit ribosomal RNA", at positions 20 to 371 of the family's 1831-position model. Lineage: Eukaryota; Fungi. The record is from RNAcentral.